ACUCCUACGGGAGGCAGCAGUGGGGAAUUUUGGACAAUGGGCGAAAGCCUGAUCCAGCAAUACCGCGUGCAGGAAGAAGGCCCUCGGGUUGUAAAACUGCUUUUGUCAUCGGAACGGAAAAGGAUCCGUGGCUAAUAUCUGGGGCUGAUGACGGUACCGUAAGAAUAAGCACCGGCUAACUACGUGCCAGCAGCCGCGGUAAUACGUAGGGUGCAAGCGUUAAUCGGAAUUACUGGGCGUAAAGCGUGCGCAGGCGGCUGUGUAAGACAGGUGUGAAAUCCCCGAGCUCAACUUGGGAAUUGCACUUGUGACUGCAUAGCUAGAGUACGGCAGAGGGGGAUGGAAUUCCGCGUGUAGCAGUGAAAUGCGUAGAUAUGCGGAGGAACACCGAUGGCGAAGGCAGUCCCCUGGGCCCUGUACUGACGCUCAUGCACGAAAGCGUGGGGAGCAAACAGGAUUAGAUACCCUGGUAGCUACGA
RNAcentral lists this ribosomal RNA (479 nucleotides) under uncultured bacterium. RNAcentral describes it as "bacterial SSU rRNA". It matches the Rfam family "Bacterial small subunit ribosomal RNA", at positions 335 to 800 of the family's 1533-position model. The record is from RNAcentral.